GAUGAACGCUGGCGGCGUGCCUAAUACAUGCAAGUCGAGCGGCUUGGGGAGCAAUCCCCUUGCAGCGGCGAACGGGUGAGUAACACGUAGGCAACCUGCCUUUGAGACUGGGAUACCCAGGCGAAAGCUUGGCUAAUACCGGAUAACAACGAGGACCGCAUGGUCCCCGCUUGAAAGGUGCUCCAAAGCACCGCUCUUAGAUGGGCCUGCGGCACAUUAGCUAGUUGGUGAGGUAACGGCCCACCAAGGCGAGGAUGUGUAGCCGACCUGAGAGGGUGACCGGCCACAAUGGGACUGAGACACGGGCCCAUACUCCUACGGGAGGCAGCAGGUAGGGAGUUUUUCGG
Molecule: ribosomal RNA, 347 nt
Filed under: uncultured bacterium
Lineage: Bacteria
Description: bacterial SSU rRNA
Rfam family: Bacterial small subunit ribosomal RNA
Source: RNAcentral